This 253-nucleotide ribosomal RNA is filed under the name uncultured bacterium. RNAcentral's name for it is "partial 16S ribosomal RNA". It matches the Rfam family "Bacterial small subunit ribosomal RNA", at positions 524 to 776 of the family's 1533-position model. The record is from RNAcentral.
UACGAAGGGGGCUAGCGUUGCUCGGAAUCACUGGGCGUAAAGGGUGCGUAGGCGGGUCUUUAAGUCAGGGGUGAAAUCCUGGAGCUCAACUCCAGAACUGCCUUUGAUACUGAAGAUCUUGAGUGCGGGAGAGGUGAGUGGAACUGCGAGUGUAGAGGUGAAAUUCGUAGAUAUUCGCAAGAACACCAGUGGCGAAGGCGGCUCACUGGCCCGAUACUGACGCUGAGGCACGAAAGCGUGGGGAGCAAACCGG